RNAcentral lists this transfer RNA (83 nucleotides) under Eubacteriales Family XIII. Incertae Sedis bacterium. RNAcentral's name for it is "tRNA-Leu". It matches the Rfam family "tRNA". From Rfam's summary of the family: Transfer RNA (tRNA) molecules are approximately 80 nucleotides in length. Their secondary structure includes four short double-helical elements and three loops (D, anti-codon, and T loops). The record is from RNAcentral. Lineage: Bacteria; Bacillati; Bacillota; Clostridia; Peptostreptococcales; Anaerovoracaceae.
GCGCCCGUGGCGGAACUGGUAGACGCACAAGAUUUAGGUUCUUGCGGGAAACCGUGGGGGUUCAAGUCCCUCCGGGCGCACCA